Molecule: non-coding RNA, 57 nt
Organism: Biomphalaria glabrata
Lineage: Eukaryota; Metazoa; Mollusca; Gastropoda; Planorbidae
Source: Rfam
UAGCUGAGUGGUAAAGCGCUUGGCUUUCGAACCGGGGAUCCCAGGCUCAAAUCCUGG